AUGUAUAAACAGGAUCUAAUCAUGUGCAUCUCAUGUAACAUAGAUCUAAACAUGAUCAUAUCAUAACUUACAUCUCAUAUACCACAUAAGUAUCAGAUUUUAAUCUUAUACAUCAUAAAAAUCAGAUAUAAAAAUUUUGAUUAAUAUGUUAUCAAAUAACGUUCAACGAUCGCUCUAAAAUAAAUUUUGAUCAGAACAAUCUUGAACUUUAAUAAAAAAAAUUUAGAUCUAUUAAAUCUGAUUUUCAUAUCCUAAUCUAAUGCAUGUGAAACGACC
RNAcentral lists this long non-coding RNA (276 nucleotides) under Elaeis guineensis (African oil palm). Its description in RNAcentral is "long non-coding RNA (EGUI_LNC020983)". Lineage: Eukaryota; Viridiplantae; Streptophyta; Magnoliopsida; Arecales; Arecaceae. The record is from RNAcentral.